UGGGGAAUAUUGCACAAUGGAGGGAACUCUGAUGCAGCAACGCCGCGUGCGGGAUGACGGCCUUCGGGUUGUAAACCGCUUUCAGCCAUGACGAAGCUUUUGUGACGGUAGUGGUAGAAGAAGCACCGGCUAACUACGUGCCAGCAGCCGCGGUGAUACGUAGGGUGCGAGCGUUGUCCGGAAUUAUUGGGCGUAAAGAGCUUGUAGGCGGUUUGUCGCGUCGAUAGUGUAAACACGCAGCUUAACUGUGUGCCUGCUGUCGAUACGGGCUGACUAGAGGAGGGUAGGGGAGAAUGGAAUUCCCGGUGGAGCGGUGGAAUGCGCAGAUAUCGGGAGGAACACCAGUGGCGAAGGGGGUUCUCUGGACCUUUCCUGACGCUGAGAAGCGAAAGCGUGGGUAGCAAACAGG
Molecule: ribosomal RNA, 409 nt
Filed under: Fusobacteriota bacterium
Lineage: Bacteria; Fusobacteriati; Fusobacteriota
Description: Fusobacteria bacterium partial 16S ribosomal RNA
Rfam family: Bacterial small subunit ribosomal RNA
Source: RNAcentral